Molecule: unclassified non-coding RNA, 174 nt
Filed under: uncultured fungus
Lineage: Eukaryota; Fungi
Description: sequence contains ITS1
Source: RNAcentral
GUUUCUCAUUGUUUCUCAUGGUUGGUGUCAGAGUGAUUUAUAUAAAACAGUUGUGUUUCCUCUUCGAGGCAAAGGGACCCUCAUUGUGGGACGUCCUUUCCGCCGCCGGGAUGACCCGACGGCGGGAGCACGAAGCAUUUUGUAAUGAUCCAACCGCAGGUUCACCUACGGUUA